This 460-nucleotide ribosomal RNA is filed under the name uncultured bacterium. Its description in RNAcentral is "partial 16S ribosomal RNA". It matches the Rfam family "Bacterial small subunit ribosomal RNA", at positions 338 to 795 of the family's 1533-position model. The record is from RNAcentral.
CCUAUGGGAGACAGCAGUGAGGAAUAUUGGUCAAUGGGCGCGAGCCUGAACCAGCCAAGUAGCGUGAAGGAUGACUGCCCUACGGGUUGUAAACUUCUUUUAUAAAGGAAUAAAGUGAGGCACGUGUGCCUUUUUGUAUGUACUUUAUGAAUAAGGAUCGGCUAACUCCGUGCCAGCAGCCGCGGUAAUACGGAGGAUCCGAGCGUUAUCCGGAUUUAUUGGGUUUAAAGGGAGCGUAGAUGGGUUGUUAAGUCAGUUGUGAAAGUUUGCGGCUCAACCGUAAAAUUGCAAUUGAUACUGGCAGUCUUGAGUACAGUUGAGGUAGGCGGAAUUCGUGGUGUAGCGGUGAAAUGCUUAGAUAUCACGAAGAACUCCGAUUGCGAAGGCAGCUUACUAAACUGCCACUGACAUUGAUGCUCGAAAGUGUGGGUAUCAAACAGGAUUAGAUACCCGUGUAGUC